RNAcentral lists this ribosomal RNA (492 nucleotides) under uncultured bacterium. Its description in RNAcentral is "partial 16S ribosomal RNA". It matches the Rfam family "Bacterial small subunit ribosomal RNA", at positions 29 to 507 of the family's 1533-position model. The record is from RNAcentral.
AGUGAACGCUGGCGGUAGGCCUAAUACAUGCAAGUCGAACGGCCGCACAGUAAGAGCUUGCUCUUACGGGUGGCGAGUGGCGGACGGGUGAGGAAUACAUCGGAAUCUACUUUUUCGUGGGGGAUAACGUAGGGAAACUUACGCUAAUACCGCAUACGACCUACGGGUGAAAGCAGGGGUUCUUCGGACCUUGCGCGAUUGAAUGAGCCGAUGUCGGAUUAGCUAGUUGGCGGGGUAAAGGCUCACCAAGGCGACGAUCCGUAGCUGAUCUGAGAGGAUGAUCAGCCACACUGGAACUGAGACACGGUCCAGACUCCUACGGGAGGCAGCAGUGGGGAAUAUUGGGCAAUGGGCGCAAGCCUGAUCCAGCCAUACCGCGUGGGUGAAGAAGGCCUUCGGGUUGUAAAGCCCUUUUAUUGGGGAAGAAAAGCAGCAGAUUAAUACCCCGCUGUUCUGACGGUACCCAAAGAAUAAGCACCGGCUAACUUCGUG